UUCCGGUUGAUCCCGCCGGAGGCUACUGCUAUUGGAGUUCGAUUAAGCUAUGCAUAUCUAGGCAUCUGGAAGGGUGCCUGGUAAAAAGCUCAGUAACACGUGGACAACUUACCUUCAAGAGGGGCAUAACUUCGGGAAACUGAGGAUAAUACCCCAUAGUUUAGAUGUUCUGGAAUGACGCUAAACAAAAUGAGUUAUUCUAUUCCGAGUAAUUUUCGCUUGAAGAAGGGUCUGCGUCGGAUUAGGUUGAUGUUAGGGUAACUGCCUAACAUGCCGACAAUCCGUACCGGCUAUGAAAGUAGGAGCCGGGAGAUGGAUACUGAGACAAGGAUCCAGGCUCUACGGAGCGCAGCAGGCGCGAAAACUUCGCAAUGCGCGCAAGCGUGACGAGGGAACUCCAAGUGCCUCUCAAAAGAGAGGCUAUUGUGAUAUGUAAAAAGUAUCUCGAAUAAGGACUGGUCAAGACUAGUGCCAGCCUCCGCGGUAAAACUAGCAGUUCGAGUGGUAGCCACGAUUAUUGGGCUUAAAGCGUUCGUAGCCGGCUUAAUAAGUUCUCUGUGAAAUCCUUGGGCUUAACUUAAGGGCUUGCAGAGAAUACUAUUUCGCUUGGAGUUGGGAGAAGUCAAGGGAACUACUAGGGUAGCGGUGAAAUGCUAUAAUCCUAGUAGGACCGCCAAUGGCGAAGGCACUUGACUAGAACAAGCUCGACGGUGAGGAACGAGAGCUAGGGGAGCGAACCGGAUUAGAUACCCGGGUAGUCCUAGCCGUAAACGAUGUGGACUGAGUGUUUCCCGAACUUAGGGUUCGGGAAGUGCUGAAGGGAAACCGUUAAGUCCACCGCCUGGGGAGUACGGUCGCAAGGCUGAAACUUAAAGGAAUUGGCGGGGGAGCACCACAAGGGGUGGAGUCUGCGGUUUAAUUGGAUUCAACGCCGGA
This 936-nucleotide ribosomal RNA is filed under the name uncultured archaeon. RNAcentral describes it as "bacterial SSU rRNA". It matches the Rfam family "Archaeal small subunit ribosomal RNA", at positions 1 to 922 of the family's 1478-position model. The record is from RNAcentral.